GAUGAACGCUAGCUACAGGCUUAACACAUGCAAGUCGAGGGGAAACGGCAUUAAGUGCUUGCACUUUUUGGACGUCGACCGGCGCACGGGUGAGUAACGCGUAUCCAACCUUCCCAUGACUAAGGGAUAACCUGCCGAAAGGCAGACUAAUACCUUAUGGUCUUCACUGACGGCAUCAGAUGUGAAGUAAAGAUUUAUCGGUUAUGGAUGGGGAUGCGUCUGAUUAGCUUGUUGGCGGGGUAACGGCCCACCAAGGCAACGAUCAGUAGGGGUUCUGAGAGGAAGGUCCCCCACAUUGGAACUGAGACACGGUCCAAACUCCUACGGGAGGCAGCAGUGAGGAAUAUUGGUCAAUGGGCGAGAGCCUGAACCAGCCAAGUAGCGUGCAGGAUGACGGCCCUAUGGGUUGUAAACUGCUUUUGUAUGGGGAUAAAGUCAAUCACGUGUGAUUGUUUGCAGGUACCAUACGAAUAAGGACCGGCUAAUUCCGUGCCAGCAGCCGCGGUAGUACGGAAGGUCCGGGCGUUAUCCGGAUUUAUUGGGUUUAAAGGGAGCGUAGGCUGGAGAUUAAGUGUGUUGUGAAAUGUAGACGCUCAACGUCUGACUUGCAGCGCAUACUGGUUUCCUUGAGUACGCACAACGUUGGCGGAAUUCGUCGUGUAGCGGUGAAAUGCUUAGAUAUGACGAAGAACUCCGAUUGCGAAGGCAGCUGACGGGAGCGCAACUGACGCUGAAGCUCGAAGGUGCGGGUAUCGAACAGG
Molecule: ribosomal RNA, 761 nt
Filed under: Prevotella melaninogenica
Lineage: Bacteria; Pseudomonadati; Bacteroidota; Bacteroidia; Bacteroidales; Prevotellaceae
Description: bacterial SSU rRNA
Rfam family: Bacterial small subunit ribosomal RNA
Source: RNAcentral